Molecule: long non-coding RNA, 367 nt
Organism: Bubalus bubalis (water buffalo)
Lineage: Eukaryota; Metazoa; Chordata; Mammalia; Artiodactyla; Bovidae
Exons: 4
Source: RefSeq, a predicted model, not a curated record
AUGAUUUAAUGAAAUGCUUCCUUUUUCCUGCACGAAAAAAACAAAACCUCAAAUAACAGCUAGUUGAACCAUUUAGGAUUAGAAUGUUUAAUCCCUCGGAUCAGGGAAGAAUGAACGGGUGAGAAGAUUCUGAGGGAAGAAAGAUCCAAUUCAUGCAACACAGGAGCAUUGCUGUGGCGGAGGCCUGCCUGGAGGAAAUGUUCCAUUUUGUGGCAGCUUCAGCAGUCUGAAUCCUGAAAUGAAGAUGCAAGAGCUGAGCUCCCAAUCAACUGGCAGUGGACAUGUUGGCUGUAGCCAUGUGAUAAAGGUGCAAUCAGUGGGAUUUGAGCAGAAGUAAUGGGUGUUCUGUGCCUGGAACCUGAAAAUG